RNAcentral lists this ribosomal RNA (449 nucleotides) under uncultured bacterium. Its description in RNAcentral is "partial 16S ribosomal RNA". It matches the Rfam family "Bacterial small subunit ribosomal RNA", at positions 29 to 523 of the family's 1533-position model. The record is from RNAcentral.
AACGAACGCUGGCGGCAUGCCUAACACAUGCAAGUCGAACGAAGCCUUCGGGCUUAGUGGCGCACGGGUGCGUAACGCGUGGGAAUCUGCCCUUUGGUUCGGAAUAACAGUUGGAAACGACUGCUAAUACCGGAUGAUGACGAAAGUCCAAAGAUUUAUCGCCAGAGGAUGAGCCCGCGUAGGAUUAGCUAGUUGGUGUGGUAAAGGCGCACCAAGGCGACGAUCCUUAGCUGGUCUGAGAGGAUGAUCAGCCACACUGGGACUGAGACACGGCCCAGACUCCUACGGGGGGCAGCAGUGGGGAAUAUUGGACAAUGGGCGAAAGCUUGAUCCAGCAAUGCCGCGUGAGUGAUGAAGGCCCUAGGGUUGUAAAGCUCUUUUACCCGGGAUGAUAAUGACAGUACCGGGAGAAUAAGCCCCGGCUAACUCCGUGCCAGCCGCCGCAGUAA